This 209-nucleotide unclassified non-coding RNA is filed under the name Hevea brasiliensis (rubber tree). The record is from RNAcentral. Lineage: Eukaryota; Viridiplantae; Streptophyta; Magnoliopsida; Malpighiales; Euphorbiaceae.
CCAGCAGCAACCGCAUUGGCAAGUUUAGAUGUGCAACGAAGCAGAACAGCAGGAAGACCCGGGACAAUAUUCCUCCAGGCAUCAUCCCGAAAAGCGCGCUGCAAAUCAGCGGUUAAAGCCGGCUGCUCACUCCAGUCCUUCACUGCACUAUCGGCCACCCUCAGUUCAAUCAUCCUCUCCACCAGCCACAGUAAAUGCUUCCCAUUGGU